Molecule: small RNA, 133 nt
Filed under: Klebsiella variicola
Lineage: Bacteria; Pseudomonadati; Pseudomonadota; Gammaproteobacteria; Enterobacterales; Enterobacteriaceae
Also listed under: 4 other names
Description: RtT sRNA
Rfam family: RtT RNA
About the family: This family represents a bacterial cis-regulatory element known as RtT RNA. The exact function of RtT is unknown although it is thought that it may be involved in changing the cellular response in relation to amino acid starvation.
Source: RNAcentral
GAUUCUGCCCUACGGGGAAGGAUGAGAAGCUUCGACUAAGGUUCGACUCGAGCGCCAGCGAGAGAACGUUGCCGCAGGCAACGGCCCGAAGGGCGAGGAGCGAUAGCGACGAGUUAUCCUUCCCCCUCUAUUC